GAACAGGCUGUCACAUCGUUCGAGGAGC
RNAcentral lists this small RNA (28 nucleotides) under Bombyx mori (domestic silkworm). RNAcentral's name for it is "ovarian small RNA-5007". Lineage: Eukaryota; Metazoa; Arthropoda; Insecta; Lepidoptera; Bombycidae. The record is from RNAcentral.